Long non-coding RNA from Ictalurus punctatus (channel catfish), 830 nucleotides. Lineage: Eukaryota; Metazoa; Chordata; Actinopteri; Siluriformes; Ictaluridae. The record is from Ensembl.
AUGAUUUGUGGAUUAGAUGUGAAGCAGAAAAGGGAUGUACUGGAAAUAUUAUUAUUGUCUUUGGUUUUGUGUUUGUUUAGGCUGAAGGGUAGGCUGCUGAAUUUUGGAACUCUGUCAGUCUACACCUAGCUGUGCCCAUGGUGACAUUAACAGGAUUGCUCAUUGUUUCUCCUGAAUUAUCCAAAUAUUCUGUGUAUUAUUUGCUGAUUUCUAUCUCACAGGUCAGACCCUGUCAUCACUAAAAAUGCAGCUCAUUUGAUUACAGCAAUGAAACAUGACGACUGUAGGAGUGGACUUUGAAAGCAGUUCACUGGCAAUUUUUAAGCAAACAACUGUGUGGGCAAAGAGAUGGUGAAUUAAGCAAAGUGAAAGUUCACAAAAUUCAGUGUGACACACAAGCAAAUCAGGCUAAUUUUAAAGGAAGGAAUAAAAUACUUGGGGACCUGCUGUUAUAGGAAUAUAAUCCACAACAGGGUGCAGUGAUAAGGCCCGAAGUGUAGCAUGUCAGGAAUUGUAAGGGAGGCGGAUGCAAAUGCGGAAAUCGUUCAUUAUUUGAAGUAUAAACCAAAAAAAAACUGUGAAAACAAGAACCAAAAACCUGAACUGUAGAUACAAGGCAAAAACAUCCAGACUACAAGUGAGACUAUGGCACACGACAACACAUGAAGACUACAACAAAAAGCUUGACAUUAAGACACAGAAAAACUGGAACAUAAAUAGUGGUGAUCAUCAAGGUGAAACAGGAUACAGGUGAGAGUGAUUAGUGUGAUACAUGACAUGCAGGGAAUGAUGGAUAAUAGAAUUCUGUGCCCCUUUGGCGCUACCAUGAA